RNAcentral lists this ribosomal RNA (783 nucleotides) under Chalcosphaerium sp. MSL2007. Its description in RNAcentral is "partial 16S ribosomal RNA". The stretch from base 1 to 566 matches the Rfam family "Bacterial large subunit ribosomal RNA", at positions 1843 to 2925 of the family's 2925-position model. Lineage: Eukaryota; Metazoa; Arthropoda; Insecta; Coleoptera; Byrrhidae. The record is from RNAcentral.
UGAUUUAAAGUCUAACCUGCCCAUUGAUUUAUUAAAAGGCCGCGGUAUUUUGACCGUGCGAAGGUAGCAUAAUAAUUAGUUUUUUAAUUGAAAGCUAGAAUGAAUGGUUGAACGAGAAAAAUACUGUCUCUAUUUAAAUUCAUUAGAAUUUUAUAUUUAAGUAAAAAAGCUUAAAUUAUUUUUAAAGACGAGAAGACCCUAUAGAGUUUAAUAGUUUAUUAAUUAUUAAAUUUUUAUUAUUUUAAGUUUUAUCAUUAAUUAAUUAUUUUAUUGGGGUGAUGGAAAAAUUUAUAAAACUUUUUUUGUUUAUAGACAUUAAUUUAUGAAUAAUUGAUCCAUUAAUUAUGAUUAUAAGAUUAAAUUACCUUAGGGAUAACAGCGUAAUUUCUUUAAAGAGUUCUAAUCGAAAAAGAAGUUUGCGACCUCGAUGUUGGAUUAAAAUUAAUUUUUGGUGUAGAAGCUAAAAUAUUAGGUCUGUUCGACCUUUAAAAUUUUACAUGAUCUGAGUUUAAACCGGUGUGAGCCAGGUUGGUUUCUAUCUUAAAAAAAGAAUAAUAUUUUAGUACGAAAGGAUCAAAUAUUUAUAAAAUUUAUUUUUAUUGAAUAAAUUUAAUUGUUAUUUUGGCAGAUUAGUGCAUUAAAUUUAGAAUUUAAUUAUGUAUAUUUAUACAAGUAAUAUUUGUGGUUUAAGGAUUUUUUUUUGGUGUUUGUUAGAAGAUUAAUUAUAAUUAUUUUUGUAUUAGUAGGUGUGGCUUUUUUAACUUUGAUGGAACGUAAAGUUUU